This 423-nucleotide ribosomal RNA is filed under the name uncultured bacterium. RNAcentral's name for it is "bacterial SSU rRNA". It matches the Rfam family "Bacterial small subunit ribosomal RNA", at positions 207 to 622 of the family's 1533-position model. The record is from RNAcentral.
AAGACCUUGCGCUUUUGGAGCGGCCGAUGUCUGAUUAGCUUGUUGGUGAGGUAAAAGCUUGCCAAGGCUUCGAUCAGUAGCUGGUCUGAGAGGACGGCCAGCCACACUGGGACUGAGACACGGCCCAGACUCCUACGGGAGGCAGCAGUGGGGAAUUUUGGACAAUGGGGGCAACCCUGAUCCAGCCAUGCCGCGUGAGUGAAGAAGGCCUUCGGGUUGUAAAGCUCUUUCAGCCGGAACGAAACGGUUACGGUUAAUACCCGUGACUACUGACGGUACCGGAAGAAGAAGCACCGGCUAACUACGUGCCAGCAGCCGCGGUAAUACGUAGGGUGCAAGCGUUAAUCGGAAUUACUGGGCGUAAAGCGUGCGCAGGUGGUUUUGUAAGUCAGAUGUGAAAUCCCCGGGCUUAACCUGGGAACU